UGAUAUGCACAGUUCCAAUUUAUUAUUGCAUAUGUAGUAUCCUAAUUCAUUUUAUUGUAGUAGUACCCCAAUAAAUUAGGUUACCGACCCGAAUGUUUCGGAACUAUUCCAACUUGAAUUGCGAUACUGCCCCAAUUAAUUGGAAAUGUCCAUAUUAUCCAACAAAUUAAGAUAGUGCCAAAAUUGUGCGGGAUAAACCCUGACAUUUUUUUUCGUGCAAAUUUUCCCGGAAAUUCGUGAUUUCUUAAACAAAAAGAAACUCAGCAAGCUCUGAAGGUUCACAUGGCAUUUCCUCUUUGCACCGGUAGAGAUGACUUCGUUCCCAAGUGGCAACCCUUCGGCGAAGACCUCGUGCGUGCGAACUGACCCAGUAGGUGAAAAAACUUUGAACCAGAAAUCACGGCAAGAUUAAUGACAUGGCUCAAUUAACACUAGCUCGUUAGACGCUCUCGGGAGGAAACGAUGUCAAACUGUGUUUGCCUAGCCGAAUGCCAACUCCCUACUCUGGCGUCAUUUAAACGGUCGAUGCUCAGUGUUGACAUAGACGUCCGCUACCAUUAACUGCGUCAAUUAUUGCAAAAACAGCCUAAGUUUAACGUUACAUGUAUGCGACGCCACCUUUUUGUCCAUCGUGUUGACGAGUGCAAAGAGCGCAGAAGCGGACAGACAGUAUUUGUUCUGGUAAUGCUGCGUAAGUUAUCAUGACCACUUAUCAAACAUGAAUGGUUAAACUGAAAGAAAAGUCGGGUGAAAUUUUGAAAAAUCUAAUUUUUUGUACAAGUUUUGAACUCCUACUGGAAGUGGAAGAGGACGCCGAAGGCGGAGGUACCUUUCGAAGGGACGACCACAAUGCCAACAUUGGGGGAGGAGGCGGAGACACUUCAGCUGAGAAAUGCGCACGCUGGUGAUUUUUUGGAGACUUGAACGAACGGUGAGAAAAUAUGUUCGACAGUGCGUAGGAGAAUGAGGCAAGUUGCAACGCAAGUGAAAAAAACAUGGUUUUGUACGGACUCAUUCUGGUGCUCGCGACUGUUCUUAUGCUUCUGACAGUGGGUUUGGCACACGCCAAGAAUGGAACCAGUUUGUCUAGUGACUUUAAUCGGAAUAAUGCAGUACAGCCCAUUUUUGAUCAAAGCGAGAACUCCAGAGAAAUCAACACGGGAAGAGCUGUUGCAAAUGCUUAUUAUGAUUUUCUUAUUAACGAGGGCUCCUACAAAUUUUGGGCAAUUUUUCAGCUAGCGACGGUAGCAAUUCUCUUAUAUUCUGUGUUUGCCGCCAUAUACUAUGCUAAAUACCAGUACCUGACUGAUCCGCCCACGGACAUUGAUGACCUCUUCAGGUCGAAUAGUGGUGGCUUGGGAACUUUGGACGAAUCCACGUUCCUUAUGAUACUCCAAGCAUUAGAACAUGUACCACUGCGUGAUUAAUGUAAGCUACCGUGGAUGGCUCAUUACAUGACGAGACAAAGACAGAUUAGUUUGUUCCUCUACUUCUCUUCAUGAAAAAGCGUGUAGCCCAGAAUACAAAUUUUAAAAGGCAAAUUUUUUGUUGUAACAGCUCUAGUACGUUAAUUUUUUUUAUAUAUAUAAAUUGUGGCCUCCGAGCCAAUAAUUCUAAUUCUUUCUAGCUCUCUAAUUUUUCAUGUACAUACUUAAAAUAGUAUUUUAAAGCUUUUCUGUAAAAACCAGACCUCAGAAAUCAAAGGUAAAUAGGAUUUAGAAAGCAGAUUCCUAAAAUUGGUCGAGUAUAUUAGUUGUCUGCAAAUUGGUUUGCACCAUUAGUUCGCGUAGAAUUUAUAAGUUAAAAUAAUUACUGUAUUGCUGUGAUGAAAACGCGUGAAAAAUGUUUUCAUCGCAAUUUAAUUCCAUUUUAGUUCAGAAUGCAUUGUGAUUUUCAAACAAAGUAUCAAGAUCAGUUAGUUUAAGUAAGAUAAAGUAAGUUUAUAGGUACAAUUACAGGCACAUUGUUUGAAUGACUCUUGUCGCACAAACCUCCUUUUCCAUUCAAAUUAGAAUGUAUUUACGUCGUUUCUUCUAAAUCUCAUUUAUUGUUUACUUAUUUCACCAUUUUUCAGUUCCAAUUCAUUUUAUUAUGUCCCUUCUUUGUUCCAUGUUUUCAUGCAACCAAAACUAAUUAGAACCUUCGACUUGGACGAGGAUUGGUUCAAGAAUCAUAACAUGUCAUUUUAUACAACUGACAACAAUUUAAUUACUGAUGAGAUAAAAUUUAGCCACUUAUAAUUGAUCCACAUUAUGACCGACAAACAAUAGAGUUAUUAGAAGUAAUUGCAUUAUCGCCUCAAGAAUAAGUGGAAAUUACUAAUUCUGAUCCCAAAAACCUAAGAUUCAUUUAUACCUCCAUCGAUUCAUCGCAAAUGAGGCGCAUGAUUAGGUAUACAAGAUGAGUUUUAAAAAGGCUUCCAUUAUUAUAGACUUUUUCAAUUAGCCUCAGAACUUAAGUCUGAAUCAAUAUAUCUCUUUUAUGCCUCAUUCUUUCAGUAAACAAUGACAUUAUAUUGAUGAUCACUAUGCAAACCCACUUACAUAGAAUUUUUUGCUUUCUAAAACCGACUCGAUGUAUAUUCUUUUCUAAUGACGUUAAUUUAAAAUGUAGGAUGCGAUGGUUCUCACAUUUUUGUUAGCAUAAAAUUUUAAUGCAAUAAGUUAAUAUAUGCUUGGUAAUGAGGUUUGUGCCUCUCAGUAUAAUGCAUUUGUUCCUCCUCAAUACCUUUCGAGUGGCGUGAAACGGCGUCUCACGCAACAUUUGGAGACACAAAAUGGUAAAGCCCUAAAAUUUUAAAGGAGAUAGUUAAAAUAAUAGAUUGUUGUUCCUGAAAUGAGAUAAUAACACGAGAUAAAAAUCCUGUAUAUCCUCUGUAUAAAAUCGGUUUUUUUAUUAUAACGAUUUAGGGGCCGUCUCUUAAUUACAUGACGCAUUUUUUCAGCAUUUUUGAUCCCCCUUCCCCCCUCGUAACACUUAUGUGACGUAGACUCAUAUCUUUUAACACAUUAAAACAAAAUUACGUAACACUCUUCUCGACCUCCCCUCCCCCCUAGAGAGUUACCUAAUUUAGGGACGGCCCCUUAUCAAAAUUCGCGAAACGUGAUUGGCUGGAUUUCAAUAAGUUCCCAUUUUAGCCGUGAAGCUACAGCUUUUGUAUCUGAGUAUCAACGCAAACAAAAGUUCAUACUCGUGCACCGAAAGCCUUUCAGCUAGUCAUCGCACAGUGGAUCGAGUCAAUAGGAGAGGUCGGACAAAAUUUGGAAACUUUAAACGCUCAUAGCUCCGUUUAUACAAAACUUUGAGGCUCUAAAGGUGGUUUCAUCGGUUUCCUCGUGAAAUUUUCUUCUAUGAGCCCCUCUUGAAACUUAAAAUGUGACGGAAUAAACAUCAAAAUUUGCUGUUCGAGUCAUAAAUUUCAUGUCCGACUUCUCUAAUUGACUCGAUCCACUGUGCACCAUCUAAAGCCCCGAAACUGAAACGCACACAAGUCAACGACUCUGAUGUAGUAUUCAAAUUAGGCGAUAAAAGGGUUCCUAAUUUUAAAUUAGUUUACGGUCCUGGCAGAGCCUCUUCAUGAACAUUUAGUGUAAUUUGUUUGCAUAACAACUGCUCCACGUUGGGCGGCACCGUAAAACUCCACGAAUCUCCACCUCCGGAAAAGGCAACCGAAAAGACCACCAAACCGGUGGGAACCGCGGACAACUCUGCCGUGCUGAGGAAAAACGCAGUAUGAACAUUCGAGAGUUGCCAAAUUUCCUUUAAUCAAAUGUUUAUUUUUGAGAAAAAUUAUGAGUAUUUUCCCUUGAAAUUUUCAGGACUUUUCGGUGAAAUUGCGAGCAAAAUUAUCUGAAAAAUUUGCAGAAAAAUAUCUAUAUUUUCAUCAGGAAAUUUGUAUUUUAUCAAAGGAAAUUUGGCAACGCCUGAAGGUUCAUACGGCGUUUUUCCUCAGUACGGCAGAACUGCUCACCGGUUGCUCAUCAUCUUCCACGUUUGCUACCACCGAUUUACAAGCCACGCUGCCGUGCUAAGGAAAACUGCCGCUUGAGUUUUUAAGCUUUGCCGAAUUUCCUUUGAUAAAAUACGAAUCGUUUGGGGAACUUCAGAAUAUUAUUCCUCCGAUUUUUUGGACUUUGCUCCUGAUUUCAUCCAUGAAAAUUUUAGAGAAAUAUAUGCUAAACUUUCCGCCGAUGUAAUUAUAAUCAGAGACAAUUUGGCAACAUUCGACCGUUUAUAGGGCGUUUCUCCAUAGGACGGUAGCACGGUAUUUGAUCG
Molecule: long non-coding RNA, 4275 nt
Filed under: Bemisia tabaci
Lineage: Eukaryota; Metazoa; Arthropoda; Insecta; Hemiptera; Aleyrodidae
Description: lncRNA ENSSWEETPG004749
Source: RNAcentral